AAACAAAGAUAGAAUCCUACACAUCUAUCCGCCUGAUACUACGAGCGCAAGCUUAAAACUCAAGGGACUUGGCGGCGCUUUAUAACCAUCUAGAGGAGCCUGUCUAGAACCGAUUCCCCCCGUUCAACCUCACCCUCUCUUGCUUUUUCCCGUCUAUAUACCGCCGUCGUCAGCUUACCCUUUGAAGGACAAAUAGUGAGCAAAACUGGUAAAACCCAAAACGUCAGGUCGAGGUGUAGCGUAUGGGAGGGGAAGCAAUGGGCNACAUUCGCUUACUCAAGCGAGCACCCGAGCCAUUAACUGAAAAUGUUUGGUAGAUUAAGGAUUUAGCAGUAAGCGAGAGAGUAGAGCGCCGC
RNAcentral lists this ribosomal RNA (356 nucleotides) under Dactylopterus volitans (flying gurnard). RNAcentral describes it as "partial 12S ribosomal RNA". It matches the Rfam family "Bacterial small subunit ribosomal RNA", at positions 801 to 1304 of the family's 1533-position model. The record is from RNAcentral. Lineage: Eukaryota; Metazoa; Chordata; Actinopteri; Syngnathiformes; Dactylopteridae.